Molecule: ribosomal RNA, 234 nt
Filed under: uncultured bacterium
Lineage: Bacteria
Description: partial 16S ribosomal RNA
Rfam family: Bacterial small subunit ribosomal RNA
Source: RNAcentral
CGGCGAACGGGUGAGUAACGCGUGGAUAACCUGCCCAGAGGUGGGGGAUAACCCGGGGAAACUCGGGCUAAUACCGCAUAUGACCGUGAGGUCAAAGGGGGCUCGCAAGAGCUCUCGCCAUUGGAGGGGUCCGCGUACGAUUAGCUAGUUGGUAGGGUAAUGGCCUACCAAGGCGACGAUCGUUAGCCGGCCUGAGAGGGUGAUCGGCCACACUGGAACUGAGACACGGUCCAG